Molecule: long non-coding RNA, 516 nt
Organism: Medicago truncatula (barrel medic)
Lineage: Eukaryota; Viridiplantae; Streptophyta; Magnoliopsida; Fabales; Fabaceae
Exons: 2
Source: RefSeq, a predicted model, not a curated record
AUCAUUGAAACAAAACAUAGAACUUUUAUUUCCUAAAAAAAACAUAAAACUUUUACGAUAUAAAGUGAUUAUAAAUUUCUUUCUAUAGACUUAGAAAAAAUAUGGUCAAAAUUAUUAAGUAUGUUAAUCUAUUGAUCCUCUUUAUUUCCAUUUUUCUUGUUGUAACUGAUGUUAGUGCACAGAAAAGGUGUAAGGAAGAUUUUGAUUGUAGAAUUCGUAGUUGUGCAUAUCCCCUUAUUCCAGUGUGUAUUGAUCCCUUUUGUCGUUGUCGCCGUGCUUCUAUUUGAAAACAAAACUUUGUGAUAAGAGAUUGAUAAUGUAACCUAUAUAUUAUCUAGGGAUGGAAUUAAAAUCUCAUAUGGAAUACUUAUACUAUAAUGGUUCUUAAAGCCACCUAUAUAUUAACAAUAAAUUCUUCUUUUUCUUCUAAAAAAAUAAUAAUUCUUGUUUCCCAAUAUUUUGUUUAAAAUGUAAUCGUCAUUGAUAGUAAUUAUAAUAGUUACUUCCUCCGUCUCA